This 158-nucleotide ribosomal RNA is filed under the name Neofusicoccum sp. 3 JZG-2016. Its description in RNAcentral is "5.8S ribosomal RNA". It matches the Rfam family "5.8S ribosomal RNA". From Rfam's summary of the family: 5.8S ribosomal RNA (5.8S rRNA) is a component of the large subunit of the eukaryotic ribosome. It is transcribed by RNA polymerase I as part of the 45S precursor that also contains 18S and 28S rRNA. Lineage: Eukaryota; Fungi; Ascomycota; Dothideomycetes; Botryosphaeriales; Botryosphaeriaceae. The record is from RNAcentral. RNAcentral also lists the same sequence under 1 other name.
AAACUUUCAACAACGGAUCUCUUGGUUCUGGCAUCGAUGAAGAACGCAGCAAAAUGCGAUAAGUAAUGUGAAUUGCAGAAUUCAGUGAAUCAUCGAAUCUUUGAACGCACAUUGCGCCCCUUGGUAUUCCGAGGGGCAUGCCUGUUCGAGCGUCAUUU